UGCCAGCCGCCGCGGUAAUACGGAGGGUGCAAGCGUUGUUCGGAAUUAUUGGGCGUAAAGCGCGUGUAGGCGGUUCGUUAAGUCUGAUGUGAAAGCCCGGGGCUCAACCCCGGAAGUGCAUUGGAAACUGGCGAACUUGAGUACGGGAGAGGAAAGUGGAAUUCCGAGUGUAGGGGUGAAAUCCGUAGAUAUUCGGAGGAACACCGAUGGCGAAGGCAGCCCCCUGGGUCAACACUGACGCUCAGGCACGAAAGCAUGGGGAGCAAACAGGAUUAGAUA
Molecule: ribosomal RNA, 279 nt
Filed under: uncultured bacterium
Lineage: Bacteria
Description: partial 16S ribosomal RNA
Rfam family: Bacterial small subunit ribosomal RNA
Source: RNAcentral